Molecule: transfer RNA, 85 nt
Filed under: Megasphaera micronuciformis
Lineage: Bacteria; Bacillati; Bacillota; Negativicutes; Veillonellales; Veillonellaceae
Description: tRNA-Leu
Rfam family: tRNA
About the family: Transfer RNA (tRNA) molecules are approximately 80 nucleotides in length.
Source: RNAcentral
GUCCGUGUGAUGAAAUUGGAAAACAUGGCUGACUUAGAAUCAGUUGACUUAUGUCUUGUAGGUUCGAGUCCUACCACGGACACCA